UCUAGAACAAGGUGACUUUAUCAAUGUAUUCGCCUGUAUUUACCCCCCCCCCCCAUAAUGACAUUUUAAUUAGUAGCUAUUGUGACUACCAUAAAGAACUACAAAUGCCAUGAUCAUCUGGACGAGACUGCCGAAUCGAGGCAAAGGUAAGAAUCUCUGGAUUAACUUUCUAAUGUUAGCUAAAUUUAGUAAGGAAUAAUUUGGCAACAUUUAUUUUAAUUGACAAUUCUGUGAACUGCCUUGUGCAAGUUUUAAAUGGACACAAUACCUGUUAGCAAAGGUGUCAGCUAGAGAUGACGUGCAGGAUCUUGCAGGGAUUUGUAGUCUUGAAUGAUGUCUACUCUGAUGCAAAUUAGCUUUUUCGAAUCUUAGCGUAAAUAGAGCUGAAUAUAUUGAUAAAAGUCACCUUGUCCGAGAGGUUUACAUGGAUAUCAAAGUGUCACGCCAGUGUAAACCUAUACGAAAGACAGCCCUUAGUUUAAAAGUUUCUAAAAUCCCCUAUGGGAAAAAUGAAUGGUGUAAAAAACAAUUGGAACCAAUUUGACCGCUAGGUUUUAUGGGUAUUAUAACACCUCCACUGUGGGGCUCUAUAGUAGUGAGGCAACAAUGGAUAUUGACAAUGAGUUCAUACAUUAUGUAAAGUCUAAUGGAAAAACUGGAAUGUGGACAUUGAGGAAAAGAAAGCUCCUACUGUCACAGGCGUCGAAAUGAGUAGACCAAGGUGUAUAGUGCUCAUUUUUAAACUUUUAAUGAAGACACUUGAACCAAAACAAUAAAACGACCGACAACAGUUCCAUAAGGUACACACUGACAAAACGGAAAACAACUACCCACAAAAAACAAAGGAAAAACAGGCUGCCUAAGUAUGGCUUCCAAUCAGAGACAACGAUAGACACCUGCCUCUGAUUGGAAACCAUACCCGGCCAAAACAUAGAACACAAAACAUAGAAUGCCCACCCACUUAUCACACCCUGGCCUAGCUAAACAGAGAAAACACAGCUCUCCUAGGUCAGAGCGUGACAGUACCCACCCCCCCAAAGGUGCGAACUCCCGGCCGUAAACCUGAACCUAUUGGGGAGGGUCCGGGUGAGCAUCUAUAAUUGGCGGCGGCUCUGGUUUGGGGCGUAGCCCCCACACCGCCCGCUGAUCCCCCCGCUUCUGUGUCGCCGGAGGAACCAGACCGUGGAUCAGCGCCAGAGGCUCUGAACUGCCGACCGCCGCUGAAGACUCUGGGCUGCAGGCCGCCGCUGAAGACUCGGGGCUGCAGACCGUCGCUGAAGACUCAGUGCUGCAGACCGUCGCUGAGGACUCCGGGCUGCAGACCGUCGCUGAGGACUCCGGGCUGCAGACCGUCGCUGAAGACUCCGGGCUGCAGACCACCGCUGGAGGCUCCGGACUGGGGAGCGUCGCUGGAGGCUCCGGACUGGGGAGCGUCGCUGGAGGCUCCGGGCUGAGGAGCGUCGCUGGGGGCUCCGGGCUGAGGAGCGUCGCUGGGGGCUCCGGGCUGAGGAGCGUCGCUGGGGGCUCCGGGCUGAGGAGCGUCGCUGGGGGCUCCGGGCUGAAGAGCGUCUCUGUAGGUUCCGAACUGGGGACCUUCGCUGCAGGCUCCGUGCCAUGGAUCAUCACUACUGGUUCCGCGUCAUGCAUCAUCACUGGAGGCUUUGUGCCAUGGAUCAUCACUGGAGGCUCCGGGCCAUGUAUUAUCACUGGAGGCUUCGUGCCAUGGAUCAUCCCUACAGGCUCCGGGCCAUGGAUCAUCACUGGAGGCUUUGUGCCAUGGAUCAUCCCUACAGGCUCCGGGCCAUGGAUCAUCACUGGAGGCUUCGUGCCAUGGAUUAUCACUACAGGCUCCGGGCCAUGGAUCAUCACUGGAGGCUUCGUGCCAUGGAUUAUCACUGGAGGCUUCGGACCAUUGAUUAUAACUGGAGGCUUCCUACGGGGAGCUGGAACCGGUCUCACCAGACUGGGGGGACGCACAGGAGACUGGGUGUGCAGAGCAGGCACAGGGCGUACUGGGCUAUGGUGGCGCACUGGAGUGAGAGUGCGCGGAGCAGGCACAGGGUAUACUGGGCCUUGGAGGCAUACUGGAGGUCUGGCGCUGAGGGCUGGCACAACCCAUCCUGGCUCGAUGUUGACUAUAGCCCGGCAAGGGCGGGGAGCUGGAAUAGGCCGCACUGGGUUGAGCUGGCGAACUGGGGGUACCAUGCGUAGAGCUGGCGCAGGAUAACCUGGGCCGAGGAGAUGCACCGGAGACCAGGAACGCACCGGAGACCAGGCACUCCUUCCUGGCUGAAUGCCAACUCUAGCACGGCAAUGGUGAGGAGCUUGCACCGAGCGCACCGGGCUGUGAGUGCGCAUGGGCGACACCGUGCGCACCACCGCAUAACACAGUGCUUCUACAGUCACUUGCUCCCCACGGUAAGCACAGGGAGUUGGCUCGGGUCUUAACCUCGCCUUAGCCAAUCUACCCGUGUGGGCCCCCCAAAAUGUUUGGGGGCGCUGCCUCUCGGCCUCCUGUUGCUUGCCUAGCUGUUCCUCCCAGUAUCGUCGUUCCGCAUUUGCUGCCUCUAUCUCCCAUUGCGGACGGCGAUACUCACCAAGGCCUUGUCCAGGGUCCUGCCCCAUCUAGGAUCUCCUCCCAGGUCCACUCCUCUGAGCCAUACUGCUUGGUCCCGCUCCUCCUCCUGGAGAGUGCACGCUGCUUGGUCUUCUUGUGGUGGGUAGUUCUGUCACAGGCGUCGAAAUGAGUAGACCAAGGCGCAGCGUGUAUAGUGCUAAUUUUUAAACUUUUAAUGAAGACACUUGAACGAAAACAAUAAAACGAUCGACAACAGUUCCGUAAGGUACACACUGACAAAACGGAAAACAACUACCCACAAAAAUCAAAGGAAAAACAGGCUGCCUAAGUAUGGCUUCCAAUCAGAGACAACGAUUGACACCUGCCUCUGAUUGGAAACCAUACCCGUCCAAAACAUAGAACACAAAACAUAGAAUGCCCACCCACCUAUCACACCCUGGCCUAGCUAAACAGAGAAAACACAGCUCUCCUAGGUCAGAGCGUGACACCUGCACAACUCCAAAGUGAUGGGAAUACAGUUGAGAGAGAUGAAAUAAACCAAGAGAAGAAAAAGAAAGAGGGAGUUGAAAAGAAAAAGGUAUUUCAGGAGAACCAGCCAGCAAAAUGCAAAGGUAAAACAUGUGGACGAAAGAGAGAGACUUUAAAAAGAAAUACCACUAUAGAGGAUAAAGAGGAGAAUAACUAUAUUCUUGAAGUUCAGAAUGUGAAGUGAGCAUGAAUACCCUCAGAAUGUUUAUCUAUCUCUCCUAUCUAUCUCCCUCUGCAGACGUAUCAAUCUUUUCAGCUGGUUUUCAGGUCAAAGAGACUCAGCACACCCAGCAGUGCAAAGAUUCCUCAAUCUUUGCGUAGUCUGGGGUGAUGAGUCAGAUUGGCUCAGGAGGACCAGCCAGCAAAGUGCGAAGAUUUCUCCAUCUUCUCAGCUGGUGCUGAGGACAAACAGACCCUAGUGCAAAGGGAAUCUUUGUUUACAGUUGUUUUGUGCAAUGAAGCAUUUAACUCUAUAGUAGUCAUAGAUUGAUAUUUGGAUUGCAGUUUAUUAAAUUAAUAUGAUGGUCUGAUGGACUAUUGAUACUCAAACUGUCCUGAACUUGUCUGGAAAAGUCUAUUGUGUUUCGCUAAUUUGAAAGCAAAUUCAGUUUGAAAGCAUACUCAAUGCUGUACAUAUUUUAGUGUUGAGGGUACUAUAAUCAAACACACUCCUUUUGAUAUUAAUGCCAGUCAUUUUAUUUUUUCUUGUCAGAUUUCAGUUGCUGCAGCUGAGUCAAAGACUCUGAACCCUCAGGAGGAUGAGCCAGCAAAGCGCAACUGUGAAAAAAACAGAAUGGUAGCAUAUUGAUACAAUGAUGAGUGCUGCCUGCGCUAGUUUGAAAGCAUGUUCAAGACAUUUCUCUUAUUUCUGUUUUUCUGUGUGUAUCAAUGUCCCUUCACUCUCUUCUCUUGUCAGAUUUCUCUGUUUUUGCUGCAGUUAGAGGAAAGAUUCAAGACACUUAGACAGACCAGGCAGCAAAGGUCAAAAGGACCUGGACAUUGACAUGGGCUGGUCAGAGAGUGAGUAUGAUAUGGACGAUGAGUUCAUAAGUUCAGAAGUAUGGCAAAAGUGGAAAGAGGAGAAUUGGGAGAAAAGACAAAACAAAGAUUACAGUUACAGCAUUACCGAAUACAGAUAAGCUUGAUGGAGAGAUUUUAAGAAAAUAGAGUGAAAAGAUAUAUCAGCCAGCAAAGGUCAAAGGUGAAAAUGUCCUGGCAAGUGGGGGGAUGAAUCAAGAGAUGACAGAGAAAGAAGUCAUUCAGAGAUCUUCUUAGGACCAGCCAGAUAUGUGCAAAGGUAAAGAGGGUCGGAGAUACAGUACAUGCUAUGAUAUGUAGAGCUGUCUGAAGUCCUUUUUAUAUAGCAACUAUGAUGUUUAUUUCCAAUCCCCCCUUCUGUUUUCAGCGAGCAGUGAAGGUGUGGCCAAGGUCCCCCCCCCCCCCAGCCCAGCAGGCCAAAGUGAGUAAUAAAAGAGAGAUUGUCCAAAAGAAAGAUGGGAAUGACAAAGUUGCGGAGUUUAAGACAGAUGCAGAGCUCAUUAUGGAAACACACAGUGCAUUCGGAAAGUAUUCAGACCCCUUGACAUUUUCCACAUUUUGUUAAGUUACAGCCCGGUCUAGUCAACCUAGAUUAGGCCUACAUUUUUAUGUUUUUAUUAGCCUACUAUUAGGCCUAUUAUAGUUCCCGCGCAUCAAACACCUCCCAUUUCCAACAAACAAACAAUAUGCCCAUUUGCUUGGAAUACAGUUGAUCGAUAUUUUAGAAGUUGUGCUCACAGUUUGAAAUUUACAUGAAGAUACUCACACCAUCCCCCAGUCAAGUUCAAAAUGGAUAAAUACCAACCAUUGUGGGAAAAUUGGCACAUGCAAAGUUUAGUCUUUUUUUGUGCCCACAGCAUCUUCGAUAAAUUAGGCCCCUUGUUUUUUCAGGGGCAGUCUGCCCAAUUUUAUGUUCAAAAGGGCCAGGGUGACACUGAGUAGGAUAUCUAUAUUUAAAGGAAUGACAAACCAAUGUGCCACCUACAUAUUGUUUAUCUUCUGUUUGCACAAAGAGACUACCUCCCACAUCACGGAUAUAGGGCCAAAUUUGAACAAAUAAACCAAUAUUGUGUGCAAUGUGCUGUAGACAAACAGUUUGUCCUCUGUAUACAUGACCUACCUUGUUGUCAUGUGUUCUGUUUAACUUCCCUUCUUACCAUGCAUAAGCAUGUCUAAACAUGUCAAUAAAGGAAGAGAAAGACGUACAAGCCAGGUUGAUACUGUAUGUGGGAAGAUCUCAUUGAAUAAAGGCUGUGUGUUUCCUUGUGUGUGUGUGAGUGUGUGCGUGCGCGUGUGCGUGCAUGUGUCCGUGUGCAUGUGUGAGCUUGUGGCACCGGAAGGCAGCUUCCUGCAGUGCAAUGUAAGAGCAGGGGGUUGAUGAGCUUAAAUCAUGCCUCUAUUCAAUCACUCAACCACUGUAGUGCGUUGACCACCAGUGCUAUGCUAAAGUUGGUGUGCUGAAUUGUUAACUCAAGUGAAUAAGUAACAUGGGAUGUUCACUUGUUCCAUUACUUACUUUGUUUUGUUUCUACUUAAAUGACCCUGAUGUAUGGGGAUAGAUCACAUUGACCUGUCCCUCUCCACAAUUGCACAGCAUUUCCAAUCAAUUUAAUAAGUAUUCGUCAUCUAACACAUUACUCUUUCUCAACAUUUAUGAUAUCUACAGUAAACAACCACAUUCAGCAUCUGCAUGAAAAACUCCAAACAAUACAACAACACCAUCAAUUCACUUUUUUUGGUCAUAUACACUUAAUUCGGAAAGUAUUCAGAUCCUUCAACUUUUUCCACAUUUUGUUGUGUUACAGCCUUAUUCUAAAAUAUAUUAAAUACCCAAUAAUGACAAAGAAAAAUCUGUUUUUCAGAAUUGUUUUAAAAUGUAUAAAAAAAAACAGGAAAUGUCAAAUUUACAUUGGUAUUCAGACCCCUUACUUAAUACUUUGUUGAAGCACCUUUGGCAGCAAUUACAACCUCGAGUCUUCUUGGGUAUGACGCUACAAGCUUUGCACACCUGUUUUGGGGAGUUUCUCCCAUUCUUCUCUGCAGAUCUUCUCCAGCUCUGUCAGGUUAGAUGGGGAUCGUCACUGCACAGCUAUUUUCAGGUCUCUCCAGAGAUGCUCGAUUAGGUUCAAGUUCGGGCUCUGGCUGGGCCACUCAAGGACAUUCAGAGACGUGUCCUGAAACCACUCCUGCGUUAUCUUGGCUGUGUUCUUAGGGUCAUUGUCCUGUUGGAAGGUGAACCUUCGCCCCAGUCUGAAGUCCUGAGCUCUCUGGAGCAGGUUUUCAUCAAGGAUCUCUCUGUACUCUCUGUGAUCCAUUCAUCUUUUUCUCGAUCCUGACUAGUCUCCCAGUCCCUGCCGCUGAAAAACUUCCCCCACAACAUGAUGCUGCCACCACCAUGCUUCACCAGACAUGACGCUUGGCAUUCAGGACAAACAGUUCAAUCCUGGUUUUAUCAGACCAUAGAAUCUUGUUUCUCAUGGUCUGAGAGUCCUUUGGGUGCUUUUUGGCAAACUCCAAGCGGGCUGUCAUGUGCCUUUUACUGAGGAGUGGCUUCAGUCUGGCCACUUUAAAAUAAAGGCCUAAAUGGUGGAGUGGUGCAGAGAUUGUUGUCCUUCUGAAAGGUUCUCCCAUUUCCACAGAGGAACUAUAGAGCUCUGUCAGAGGGACCACAAGGUUCUUGGUCACCUCUUGACUAAGGCCCUUCUCCCCCGAUUGCUCAGUUUGGCCAGGGGGCCAGCUCUAGGAAGAGUCUUGGUUGUUCCAAUCAUUUCUUCCAUUUAAGAAUGAUGGAGGCCACUGCGUUCUCGGGGUCCUUCAAUGCUGCAUAAAUGUUUUGGUAAGGCAAAGUGACAUGGACAAAAACACAAAACAGUGCCUAUAGAAAGUCGACACCCCCUUGAACUUUUUUCACAUUUUGAAGUAUCAGUGCCUCAGAGUUUCAUGCAUUUAAAUAACGGUUUUCUCCCACUUAUCUACAUACCAUUCUCCACACUUUAAAAAUACAAAACAGUUUGGAGGGAGAGCCUGAUCUCGGCAUGGUCUUGGUGGUGCCAUAGACCUUCCAUUUCUUAAUAAUCAUCUUGACCGUGCACCAAGGGAUAUUUUGAAAUCUCAUUUGGUGCUCAUGGUUGAGGGGAGUGUAGAAUGUUCAUAGGGGGAGCAGCAGGGGGGGAACCACUGCCCACUGCCGCUAUCAUCCAGAUGGCGAGGUCAGUAGAGUUGCAUCAAAGCUGGGACUGAGAGACUGAAAAACAGCUUCUAUCUCAAGGCCAUCAGACUGCUAAACAGCCAUCACUAGCACAUCAGAGGCGGCUGCCUAUAGCCAUAGAUUAGGAAUCACUGGCCACUUUUAGAAAUGGAUCACUAGCCACUUUAAUUUUGUUUCCAUAUCUAGCAUUACUCAUCUCAUAUGUGUAAACUGCACACCACACAAUUCUACGGUAUCUUAGUCACUUUUAAAUUGUGUUUACAUAUUGCAUCACCCAUCUCAUAUAUACAUACUGUAUUGUAUUCUAUACUACACCACUGACUGUUAAACAGCCAUCUCCAGCUCAUCAGAGGCUGCUGCCUGUGGACAUAGAUUAGGAAUCACUGGUCACUUUAAGGAAAUGAAACACUAGCCACUUUAAUAUUGUCUCCAAAUCUUGCAUUACUCAUCUCAUAUGUGUAAACUGUACUCUAUACUAUCUUAGUCACUUUAAUUGUGUGUAAAUAUUGCAUCACCCAUCUCAUAUGUAUAUACUGUAUUCUGUACUAUGCCACUGUAUCUUAGUCCAAUGCCGCUCUGACAUAUAUGUAUAUAUUCUUAAUCCAUUCCUUACUUAGAUUUACGUGUAUUUUGGGUAUAUGUUGUGAAACUGUUAGAUAUUACUUGUUAGAUAUUACUGUACUGUCGGAGCUAGAAGCACAAGCAUUUUGCUACAACCGCAAUAACAUCUGAUAAACACGUGUAUGUGACCAAUACAUUUUAUUUUAUUUGAAAAGACAACACGAUAUACAGAAAAUAAGGCACUUAUAGUUAUGCACACAUGUCCAAAGUUAUUAUUUGUAAGAAAAACAACAAUGAAGGCAAUGCAGGCACCAACCAGAAAAUGUGCCAGGGGGAAAAGGUUUGUGCAAGGCCUAUUUUGACUAUAGAUGCACAAAUGUAUGCGUACUUGAUUUGAGGAAACACUGGAGAAGUGCUUGGGCUCUCCUCAAAGAUAGAAGUUUGUCCAGUUCAGUAAAGUCUCAAACAUAAAUUGUCCACAACAUUGAAAUGGGCUACUUCUUACGUGAAUUAAUGAGGAGGCAGAACACACCAGAGAUAAAAUGGAGCAUAAUUUUGUUUGAUUAAAUCAAUUUUUAUAUUCAAAUGUAGGAACUGGGCACAGAAAUGCCCUUAUCCAGAUGGUGUGACAAAGGCAUUUCCUAACAGACCUGCUAACUUUUUGUUGUUGUUACUUUCUACGGUUGGAACCAACAUGCAGUACUUCCAGCAGGAGAGAGGCAAGAACCAUUUGUCCACCAGCCCAGGAAAAAGUUCCCAGUCCUAUGUUAUGUGCAAUGUAAUUGCAUUGCUGGACAUUUCUAACUAAAUAUAUGUGUACUGUUUAAAAAAUUACAAAUGAAAGGAAAUGUAUGGCUUUAAUAUGUCUUUGACUUUAUAGUAAGAACAGCGUCAUAUGACACAAGGCAUUUAUGUAUGUGUUAUAAAUGACCAAAGGGGUCUGACUUUAUUAAAGAAUGUACAGCGUCAUGCGCUAUAGUCUUUCUGGAUGUGUUCUGAAUGACCAAAGGUGUCUCACUCACUAUAUUAUAAAGUGUCAAUAAAUAGGUUACUGUAGGGUGUGAGAGGUAUUUCAAUGGGUUGAUGGUGUAAUGGGAAAUGUUUAUUGUAUGUGUCCACAUAACUGUGAUUGUGACUAACCUUGUCAAACUGUGUGAAACUGUCCUGUUCUCGGAAGUAUCACCCCGUGUUGCAAACCAGCUUGCACCUGCGUCCUUGUAUAGAUCCGCCCAAGAACAGGAGACUAUAAAGAUAUGUGCCUAUCACCCAAUGCUUCGGAACUUAGACUGUCUACACUGCGCUGUUUAAGUCUGUUUCUCUCUGAGCUCAG
RNAcentral lists this long non-coding RNA (9243 nucleotides) under Salmo salar (Atlantic salmon). RNAcentral's name for it is "lncRNA (ENSSSAG00000109678.1)". Lineage: Eukaryota; Metazoa; Chordata; Actinopteri; Salmoniformes; Salmonidae. The record is from RNAcentral.